Magnolia sinica is the source of this 1515-nucleotide long non-coding RNA. RefSeq lists it as uncharacterized. NCBI's taxonomy places the organism in Eukaryota, Viridiplantae, Streptophyta, Magnoliopsida, Magnoliales, Magnoliaceae. The record is from RefSeq and is a predicted model, not a curated record. The transcript has 4 exons.
AGCACACGAUUUAAAAAUAUUUUGAUCACAGCUUCACUUUGCAAACAAUUCAUAAAUAUUUAGCAAAUGAAAUUAUUAAUGUGAAUCAUUGCAGUAAUACAUCAACAUUGAUAUGUUUGAACUUUGCUAACAGAUCUUCACUGACUUUAGGUGUGGAUAUAUUGGUUGGCGUCACUGAUUUCCUUUUUGUGUGAUUCAUCCAAAGAAAAUUAUUGUUGUGAGCAAUCUCUUUCCCAUCCUGUCUAUGUAAAUAAUAUGUGUAUUACUGGUCUUCUCCUCCUAUUAGCUAUGUUUCUUCUUGGCCAAUUUUAGAAAUAUAUUACUCAUGGUGGGAUAUGUUUGAGACUACACAUUAAUUCAUGGCAUCUAGAAGCCAUAGAGCUGUACAUGGGAGUCUCACGAUUGGAUAGUUUGAUGAUUUUAGAAUGUUUUGGAGUCCUUGUACUACAAUUAGAACAGAGUUCUAAUGCUAGUGCUUUUGUUAAAUUAGGACUUUUUCCUUUAUCACAAUAUGAUUGAUUAGCAUGGUAUGUAGAACAGACUUCUUUGUACUUUGUAUGCAAUGAUUUUAUUUAUUUAUUUUUUCUUUUGCCAUGUGUACAAUUAGUUAUUAGCCAUAUAGAGCAAACUUUCUGGUUUUCUUCUGCUUGCCAAUAAAUGUUUUAAAGAAAGUCACUUGCUUUGCAGCAUUCUCAAUUUCUUGUUCUUAAAAAUGCAUGCACUGUCUUAUCCGCUCUCUCCAAUAUCCUGUCUGCAUUUUGUAUUAAUCUGUUUGAAAAAGUUUUUCCUAAUGUAGGAAUAUUUGGGAAUCGAUUUUGAAUUUAAAGGUCUUGUUUUUUGUUCGGAUUUUCCGUGUCCAUGCUGAAACGCAGUUCUUGUUGCAGGUGUAUUUGGGUGGACAAUGCAUAAACAAUCCUACACUGUCAGAUGUUAUGUUUCUAGUUGAAGGUAAACGGUUCUAUGCCCACAGAAUUGCUUUGCUUGCUUUUUCCGAUGCAUUCCGUGUAAUGUUUGGCAGCGGUUAUCAGGUGAGUCUAGCCAUAUUUUCACAUUCAACACAUGGUACAUCAGUACAUUGUCACACAUCUUCACACAAGGUGAUUUGCAGGCUUUCUAGUCAAUAGCAUCUCCACCUACAAAGCCAUGGCAUGGUUUCUUGGAAACAACAGCUUGUCCGAUACACUGCCAUCCCAAAAAAGCUAUAAACUUCUUAAUAUGUUCUAGGCAUGGAUGAAUGGGAGCUAGAUCAAUGGAUUUUAUUUUUAUUUUUAUUUUUUUGAAACUAUUCAAUUUAUUAUUGUAAACAUUAUUCGUGGCAGCUCUAGUAGAGUAGAGAAGGGAAAUGGCUACAACAUCAAACAAAGAAGCCUCCAUCUACUUGCUUAUAAGUUGCUUUGUAAGCCAUAGCCUAUCCUACCCAUGCAACAACCAAUUUUUUUGGCUUGCACAUUCGUGCGCCACAUCGGCACAUAAGGUGGCAUGCCUAAUGCUAACCUUUUACUCAGUGGCAUCAAA